UACUACCUACGGGACGCAGCAGUCGAGAGUCAUUCACAAUGGGGGAAACCCUGAUGGUGCGACGCCGCGGGGGGGAAUGAAGGUCUUCGGAUUGUAAACCCCUGUCAUGUGGGAGCAAAUUAAAAAGAUAGUACCACAAGAGGAAGAGACGCCUAACUCUGUGCCAGCAGCCGCGGUAAUACAGAGGUCUCAAGCGUUGUUCGGAAUCACUGGGCGUAAAGCGUGCGUAGGCUGUUUCGUAAGUCGUGUGUGAAAGGCGCGGGCUCAACCCGCGGACGGCACAUGAUACUGCGAGACUAGAGUAA
RNAcentral lists this ribosomal RNA (305 nucleotides) under uncultured bacterium. RNAcentral describes it as "bacterial SSU rRNA". It matches the Rfam family "Bacterial small subunit ribosomal RNA", at positions 333 to 649 of the family's 1533-position model. The record is from RNAcentral.